CUAGAAUGUAAAAUUCACUGCCCAAGACCUAGUUUAGUGAAACAUGGCCUGUGAACCCACAUAAAAACGAAACAAAAAAAAACCAAAACAACAUAUAUAACAAGAUUUUUUUUUUCCUUUCUGUGGUGAAGUCAUUUAAAAUAUUAGAAUCUUAAAGGGGAACUCCACACCUUUUUAUCUUGCAACUAAUCAUUGUUAUAAGCUCUGUCCUUUGCACCUGGCAGUCAGCAUAGAGACAUAUACAGAGAAGAAGAGAAAUUAAACAUUCUUUCUAUUUCUCCUCUUCAUUUGCAAGGUUUGCCCUGACUUUGUCUUGUCUGAACUGGUUUAUGUCAUCAUUAGCUAAAUCAUUAAAAUACAUUUAAAAUAAGAUGGAACAUCUAAUAGAAAACAGGCCAACAAAAUCAUAGGUGAUUUUCAAUGUUUAAUCUAUGGUGUGGAAUUACAGAGAAGAGACGGUUCCCCUUUAACAGCAAGGAAGCAAUAAGCCCACUGCCAGCCCCCACUGGAGUUGAAAACAUUAAUGUCACUGAAAGUAAGGCCCAUCAUGCUUAAACAGAAAUGUAAAGAACUAUCUGGUGCAUUACAACUCAGCAAACUUUUAAAAUCUCUACCCAGUGGCAUCCCUACCAUAGGUAAUACCUACCGGGUUACCGGCAAGAGGGGAGCACUGUGCUGCUUCCCUCCUACCGCUGCAUGUAGCGUGGCUGAGUGGUCUUUCAGGAAGUGCUGACAGAGAGCACUUCCUGUCAGAUGGACAGGAAGUGCUCUCUUUGAGCACUUCCUGAAAGACCGAGGUGAGGAGGUACAGGAGGGGAGGGAGGAGAUACACAAAGAGGU
This is a non-coding RNA of Pelobates cultripes (western spadefoot toad), 840 nucleotides long. Lineage: Eukaryota; Metazoa; Chordata; Amphibia; Anura; Pelobatidae. The record is from the annotation of a GenBank genome assembly.